Molecule: small nucleolar RNA, 74 nt
Organism: Echeneis naucrates (live sharksucker)
Lineage: Eukaryota; Metazoa; Chordata; Actinopteri; Carangiformes; Echeneidae
Source: Ensembl
UAGUGAUGAAAUUCAAACUGAAAUAGCUGGAAUUACCGGCAGAUUGUUCAGUGGUGACGCUCGGUUUUCUGAAU